UACGUAGGUGGCAAGCGUUGUCCGGAUUUACUGGGCGUAAAGAGCGCGCAGGCGGUCGUUCAAGUCGCGUGUGAAAGCCCCCGGCUCAACUGGGGAGGGUCACGCGAUACUGAUCGACUCGAAGGCAGGAGAGGGUAGUGGAAUUCCCGGUGUAGUGGUGAAAUGCGUAGAUAUCAGGAGGAACACCUAUUGCGAAGGCAGCUCGCUGGGACGUUACUGACGCUGAGACGCGAAAGCGUGGGGAGCAAACAGG
RNAcentral lists this ribosomal RNA (253 nucleotides) under uncultured bacterium. RNAcentral's name for it is "partial 16S ribosomal RNA". It matches the Rfam family "Bacterial small subunit ribosomal RNA", at positions 524 to 776 of the family's 1533-position model. The record is from RNAcentral.